GCCCACGUGGCGGAAUUGGUAGACGCGCAUGGUUCAGGUCCAUGUGCCGCGAGGUGUGGGGGUUCAAAUCCCUCCGUGGGCACCA
This 85-nucleotide transfer RNA is filed under the name Oxalobacter sp. Its description in RNAcentral is "tRNA-Leu". It matches the Rfam family "tRNA". Rfam says of the family: Transfer RNA (tRNA) molecules are approximately 80 nucleotides in length. Their secondary structure includes four short double-helical elements and three loops (D, anti-codon, and T loops). Further hydrogen bonds mediate the characteristic L-shaped molecular structure. tRNAs have two regions of fundamental functional importance: the anti-codon, which is responsible for specific mRNA codon recognition, and the 3' end, to which the tRNAs corresponding amino acid is attached (by aminoacyl-tRNA synthetases). tRNAs cope with the degeneracy of the genetic code in two manners: having more than one tRNA (with a specific anti-codon) for a particular amino acid; and 'wobble' base-pairing, i.e. permitting non-standard base-pairing at the 3rd anti-codon position. RNAcentral also lists the same sequence under 3 other names. Lineage: Bacteria; Pseudomonadati; Pseudomonadota; Betaproteobacteria; Burkholderiales; Oxalobacteraceae. The record is from RNAcentral.